GGUCAUGGCUUAGUGGUAGAGCGCUCACCUUGUAUGUGCAAGACCCUGGGUUCGAUCCUCAGCACCA
RNAcentral lists this transfer RNA (67 nucleotides) under Marmota monax (woodchuck). Its description in RNAcentral is "tRNA.Thr". The record is from RNAcentral. Lineage: Eukaryota; Metazoa; Chordata; Mammalia; Rodentia; Sciuridae.